CUGCGGUGAGGUUCAGCCAGUCAAUCGCGCACACACACACUAGCUGAAUAUGCAGAGCUAGCGCGCAAAUAUUAACUAUUAAGCUAGCUAGUACCUAUUCCAUUUAUGUGGCGUCGUCAAAGAUGGAAUCUUUGCUAUCGUCAAUGUAUUCCAAGAUCAGCAUGAAGAUGAUGAUGCAGAGCAGGCAACAGAUGGCACACAGACAGCAGAGUUGGGGACAGAUAUGCAGGGACAGACUGGCAGAGACGGAGUCUCAGUACCUGGUUGACCAGGAGGGUUACGGCCCAGAGAAGAGGUGCUGGGUUCCCGCUAGAGACAUCCUGGACCUGCUUCCCAUCGCCAACUUUCACCGCUGACAUCCCAGUCAGCCAGGUGUCUGACCUCUCGCCUGCCUAUUGCCUGGUACUGUUUGGACUCUGACCUGGUUUAUGAACUCUCGCCUGACCUGCCUUUUGCUUUCCCCUUUUGGUAUAAUAAAUAUCAGAGCAUAACCAUCUGACUCCUGUGUCUGCAUUUGGGUCUCUCCUUGUGCCCAUAUACUGUUUUUUAGAUAAGUGAAACCCAAUCUUUCAUGAAUAAGUUAAUCUAAAUCCUUUUGUUUUGCAUAUAGAUUAUUCAAUGCUUCUUUAGUACAUUUAUCAACAUGAUGUGUAAUGUUAGAUUUUCUGUUGUAAGUCUUUUCUCUGUUGACCGAUAUUUUUGUAUUUGAGAUGAAAAUUGUAUUGAAUGGCCUUUAAAAAGGUACAUAUAGGCAUCCCAUACGAUAAUUGGGUCUGCUGAACAUGUAUUGUGCAAGAAUUUCUAUGAAUUCCUUCGUUUUUGUUAAGAAAGAACUGUCAUUCAAUAAACCCUGGUUCAAUUUACAAUAUCCCUGUCCUUGUGGAAA
This 886-nucleotide long non-coding RNA is filed under the name Salmo salar (Atlantic salmon). Its description in RNAcentral is "lncRNA (ENSSSAG00000097750.1)". The record is from RNAcentral. Lineage: Eukaryota; Metazoa; Chordata; Actinopteri; Salmoniformes; Salmonidae.